This 425-nucleotide ribosomal RNA is filed under the name uncultured bacterium. RNAcentral's name for it is "partial 16S ribosomal RNA". It matches the Rfam family "Bacterial small subunit ribosomal RNA", at positions 354 to 796 of the family's 1533-position model. The record is from RNAcentral.
GUGGGGAAUAUUGGGCAAUGGGCGAAAGCCUGACCCAGCAACGCCGCGUGAAGGAAGAAGGUCUUCGGAUCGUAAACUUCUAUCCUUGGUGAAGAUAAUGACGGUAGCCGAGAAGGAAGCCCCGGCUAACUACGUGCCAGCAGCCGCGGUAAUACGUAGGGGGCAAGCGUUGUCCGGAAUGAUUGGGCGUAAAGGGCGCGUAGGCGGCCUGGUAAGUCUGGAGUGAAAGUCCUGCUUUUAAGGUGGGAAUUGCUUUGGAUACUGUCGGGCUUGAGUGCAGGAGAGGUAAGUGGAAUUCCCGGUGUAGCGGUGAAAUGCGUAGAGAUCGGGAGGAACACCAGUGGCGAAGGCGACUUACUGGACUGUAACUGACGCUGAGGCGCGAAAGCGUGGGGAGCAAAUAGGAUUAGAAACCCUGGUAGUCC